CUCCGAACUUCUACCACAAGCGGUCUGCUCCGAGCUACCACUACAAGCAGUCUGCUCUGAAUUUCUACUACGAGCAAUCCACGUCGGAUUUCUACUGUAAGCCUCCACCUGAGCUUCUAUUAUGAGCGAAUUCCUUUCAAACUUCUAUUGCAAGCAGGCUUCGGCCGAGCUUCCUCGAUAAAUGAUCCCCAUCCGGACUUCUAUGG
This 206-nucleotide long non-coding RNA is filed under the name Elaeis guineensis (African oil palm). RNAcentral describes it as "long non-coding RNA (EGUI_LNC071786)". The record is from RNAcentral. Lineage: Eukaryota; Viridiplantae; Streptophyta; Magnoliopsida; Arecales; Arecaceae.